AUGAUGUUGCUGCUCGCGCGCAGCCUCCGCUCCCGCGUCCGGCCCCCCCUCGCCUCCGCCGUUAGCGCCGCGCCCUUCUCAUCGGUAUCGGCGGCCGCGGCGGAGGCGGAGCGGGCGGUGCGGGACGGGCCCAGGAACGACUGGACCCGCCCCGAGAUCCAGGCCAUCUACGACUCCCCGCUCCUCGACCUCCUCUUCCACGGGGCUCAGGUCCAUAGGAAUGUCCAUAAAUUUAGAGAAGUGCAGCAAUGCACACUUCUUUCAAUAAAAACUGGUGGGUGCAGUGAAGAUUGUUCAUACUGCCCACAGUCUUCAAGAUACAGCACUGGAUUGAAGGCCGAAAAAUUAAUGAAGAAAGAUGCCGUCCUAGAAGNNNNNNNNNNNGCAAAGGAGGCUGGGAGCACCCGAUUUUGCAUGGGAGCCGCAUGGAGAGAGACAAUUGGCAGGAAAACAAAUUUCAACCAGAUUCUUGAAUAUGUCAAGGACAUAAGAGGUAUGGGCAUGGAGGUCUGUUGCACCCUGGGCAUGCUAGAGAAACAACAAGCUGAAGAACUCAAGAAGGCUGGACUUACAGCUUAUAAUCAUAACCUAGAUACAUCAAGAGAAUAUUACCCCAACAUUAUUUCUACAAGAUCGUACGAUGAUAGAUUACAGACUCUUCAGCAUGUCCGUGAAGCUGGAAUAAGCGUCUGCUCAGGUGGAAUUAUUGGUCUUGGAGAGGCGGAGGAAGACCGUGUAGGGCUGUUGCAUACACUGGCCACUUUGCCGACACACCCAGAGAGCGUUCCUAUCAAUGCAUUGAUUGCUGUCAAAGGCACGCCUCUUCAGGAUCAGAAGCCUGUAGAGAUAUGGGAAAUGAUCCGCAUGAUUGCCAGCGCACGGAUUGUGAUGCCAAAGGCAAUGGUGAGACUUUCGGCAGGGAGAGUACGGUUCUCCAUGCCAGAACAAGCUCUCUGCUUUCUCGCUGGGGCCAACUCGAUCUUCGCCGGUGAAAAGCUCCUGACAACUGCGAACAAUGACUUUGAUGCGGACCAGGCAAUGUUCAAGAUCCUUGGCCUGAUUCCCAAGGCUCCAAACUUCGGCGAUGAAGAGGCCACGGUAGCAGCACCCAUGGAGAGAUGUGAGCAAGCCGCUUCGAUGUAA
Molecule: ribosomal RNA, 1143 nt
Filed under: Triticum aestivum (bread wheat)
Lineage: Eukaryota; Viridiplantae; Streptophyta; Magnoliopsida; Poales; Poaceae
Description: partial small subunit ribosomal RNA
Source: RNAcentral